Molecule: ribosomal RNA, 1681 nt
Filed under: human gut metagenome
Description: bacterial LSU rRNA
Rfam family: Bacterial large subunit ribosomal RNA
Source: RNAcentral
CGCAGGUCCGGCUGGGGAGCGGAACGGCAUGGGAGGGCCGGCCGCAGCGGGUGACAGCCCCGUACGCGAACCCAGACCGGACGGCGCGACGCGGUCCCUGAGUAGGGCCGGGCACGUGAAACCCGGUCCGAACCUGGGUGGACCACCAUCCAAGCCUGAGUACUACCCUGUGACCGAUAGCGCACCAGUACCGUGAGGGAAAGGUGAAAAGCACCCCGGGAGGGGAGUGAAACAGUACCUGAAACCGUGCGCCCACGAGCAGUCGGAGCAACUUUCAGUUGUGACGGCGUGCCUUUUGUAGAAUGAGCCAGCGAGUCGCUGGCGCGGGGCGAGGUUAACCGAAAGGGAGCCGGAGCGAAAGCGAGCCUUAACAGGGCGACUUGAGUCCCGCGCCGCGGACGCGAAGCCGGGUGAGCUAUCCGUGGGCAGGCUGAAGCGGGGGUAAGACCCCGUGGAGGGCCGAACGCACGUCGGUUGAAAACGGCGGCGAUGACCUGCGGAUAGGGGUGAAAGGCCAAUCAAACCCGGAGAUAUCUCGUUCUCCCCGAAAUAGCUUUAGGGCUAGCGUCGCGCGUUCACCGCCGGAGGUAGAGCACCGGAUGGACGAGGGGGCUUCGCCGCCUACCGAAUCCAACCGAACUCCGAAUGCCGGCGGCCCAGAGCGCGGCAGUCAGAGCAUGUGGGCUAAGCUGUGUGCUCGAGAGGGAAACAGCCCGGACCGCCCGCUAAGGUCCCCAAGUUCCAGCCGAGUGGCAAAGGAUGUGCGUCCGCCCAGACAACCAGGAUGUUGGCUUAGAAGCAGCCAUACAUUCAAAGAGUGCGUAACAGCUCACUGGUCGAGUGGACAUGCGCCGACAAUACACGGGGCUAAGCUGGACACCGAAGCGGCGGGAUUUUGAUUUACAGAAUCGGUAGGGGAGCUUCCCAUGGGCGGAGAAGCCGGAGGGCGACCGACGGUGGAGCGCAUGGGAGUGAGAAUGCUGGCAUGAGUAGCGAGAGACGAGAGAGUAACUCGUCCGCCGUGAACCCGAGGUUUCCUGGGCAAGGCUAAUCCUCCCAGGGUCAGUCGGGGGCUAAGGCGAGGCCGGUAGGCGUAGCCGACGCGCAGCAGGCAGACAUUCCUGCACCGCGCACGCGGCGCUACGACCGACGGGGCGACGGAUGGGGGUGGCUCGGCGGGGUUCUGGACGUCCCCGUGAUGGAGCGCGGCCCGCGGACCAGGGAAAUCCGGUCCGCAUUGAGGGCGAGGCUCCGGACGAAGCACUUAAGCGAAGCGAGUGAGCCCGAGGUCCCUAGAAAAACCCCUAGGCAGGCGCGUGCGCGCCCGUACCGCAAACCGACACAGGUGGGUGGGUAGAACAUACCGAGGCGAUCGGGUCAACCAUGGUCAAGGAACUCGGCACAAUGGCCCCGUAACUUCGGGAGAAGGGGUGCCCGCGCGUACGUGAACCGGCUCGCCCGGGGAGCGGAGGCGGGCCGCAGUGGAGAGGCCCAAGCGACUGUUUACCAAAAACACAGGACUCUGCAGAAGCCGCAAGGCGACGUAUAGGGUCUGACGCCUGCCCGGUGCCGGAAGGUCACGCGGAGGAGUUAGCCGUUAAGGCGAAGCCCCGAAGCCAAGCCCCGGUAAACGGCGGCCGUAACUAUAACGGUCCUAAGGUAGCGAAAUUCCUUGUCAGGU